GACGAACGCUGGCGGCGUGCUUAACACAUGCAAGUCGAACGGAAAGGCCUGCUUUCCCUUGUGGAUUGCGGGUGCUCGAGUGGCGAACGGGUGAGUAACACGUGAGUGAUCUGCCCCCAACUUGGGUAUAAGCCUGGGAAACUGGGUCUAAUUCCCGAUAGGACUGCAGGGUGGUGCCUGUGGUGGAAAACGAUUUUCUAGUGGUUGGGGAUGAGCUCGCGGCCUAUCAGCUGGUUGGUGGGGUAAUGGCCUACCAAGGCGGCGACGGGUAGCCGGCCUGGGAGGGUGGACGGCCACAUUGGGACUGAGAUACGGCCCAGACUCCUACGGGAGGCAGCAGUGGGGAAUAUUGCACAAUGGGCGGAAGCCUGAUGCAGCGACGCCGCGUGGGGGAUGACGGCCUUCGGGUUGUAAACUCCUUUCGACCGCGAGGAAGCCACCUGGUUGGAAGGGUGGUGACGGUAGUGGUAGAAGAAGCACCGGCUAACUACGUG
This 494-nucleotide ribosomal RNA is filed under the name uncultured bacterium. Its description in RNAcentral is "partial 16S ribosomal RNA". It matches the Rfam family "Bacterial small subunit ribosomal RNA", at positions 28 to 507 of the family's 1533-position model. The record is from RNAcentral.